RNAcentral lists this ribosomal RNA (253 nucleotides) under uncultured bacterium. RNAcentral describes it as "partial 16S ribosomal RNA". It matches the Rfam family "Bacterial small subunit ribosomal RNA", at positions 524 to 776 of the family's 1533-position model. The record is from RNAcentral.
UACGUAGGGUGCAAGCGUUGUCCGGAAUUAUUGGGCGUAAAGAGCUCGUAGGCGGUCUGUCACGUCGGACGUGAAAAUCCAGGGCUCAACCCUGGACCUGCGUUCGAUACGGGCAGACUAGAGUUCGGUAGGGGAGACUGGAAUUCCUGGUGUAGCGGUGAAAUGCGCAGAUAUCGGGAGGAACACCAGUGGCGAAGGCGACUUCCUGGCCUGUUCUUGACGCUGAGGCGCGAAAGCUAGGGGAGCAAACGGG